Molecule: ribosomal RNA, 305 nt
Filed under: uncultured bacterium
Lineage: Bacteria
Description: bacterial SSU rRNA
Rfam family: Bacterial small subunit ribosomal RNA
Source: RNAcentral
UGUGCCCUACGGGGCGCAGCAGUGAGGAAUAUUGGUCAAUGGGCGAGAGCCUGAACCAGCCAAGUCGCGUGAGGGAGUACUGCCCUAUGGGUUGUAAACCUCUUUUGUCGGGGAGCAAAAGCCGGACGUGUCCGGCUGUGAGAGUACCCGAAGAAAAAGCAUCGGCUAACUCCGUGCCAGCAGCCGCGGUAAUACAGAGGAUGCGAGCGUUAUCCGGAUUUAUUGGGUUUAAAGGGUGCGCAGGCGGAUUUUUAAGUCAGCGGUCAAAUCGUGGGGCUAAACCCCAUCCAGCCGUUGAAACUGUC